RNAcentral lists this long non-coding RNA (391 nucleotides) under Helianthus annuus (common sunflower). The record is from RNAcentral. Lineage: Eukaryota; Viridiplantae; Streptophyta; Magnoliopsida; Asterales; Asteraceae.
AGAGAGUCUCCCCAUAAAAAACCAAAUGACACCACCACUUGAGUUGGCUUUCCCUUAAACUCAAAUCAUCCCCUCCCCUCAUCUUAUUACAUUACAUUACCACUGCCAAAAGUAGGUGAAAAGCAACCACUAUCACCUAAUCUCACAUCCAUACUUCUUUUCUUCAUCAAUUUCAAACCCUAGAUCCCAUCCACCUGCGUUUUUCGAUCUGGGUCUCCCCUAAUUUGGAUGAUUAUCGAUACCCACUUCACAAAAUGUCUGAUUUCUUUACUUUCAAUGGUUUUUAAGAAUGUCUGCUUCCUUGGCGCCGUUCGAGCGGCCCCGAAUUGGACCUUCAAAUACGGUUUUUAAAAGCGGGCCGCUCUUCAUAUCUUCGAAAGGUUUAUUACGG